This 3794-nucleotide long non-coding RNA is filed under the name Gossypium barbadense (sea-island cotton). RNAcentral describes it as "long non-coding RNA (GBAR_LNC011300)". Lineage: Eukaryota; Viridiplantae; Streptophyta; Magnoliopsida; Malvales; Malvaceae. The record is from RNAcentral.
GAAGAAAUUAAGGGUCAAACAUUAGCUCCAAUAAUUGUUCAAAAUAUAAGACAGCUAUAUUCAAAUAGAAACUAAAUAACAACUAAAGCAUCCAAUGGAAUUUCACUCUUCAUCACUAAAUGUUUCCUCAUAAACAUGGCUUCAUCCAAAACAAAACCUCAUAACCAUUACAAUUUGCGUUUUAAGCAGAAGCUGCUGCAACCUUUUUUCUUGCUGCUGCAACCUUCUUUCUUGCUGCUGCUACAGUACCUAUGCAUCACCCCCAAUAAAAAAUUAGAACAUUUUGAAAGAAAAAAAAACCCAAAAUUUCUUACAAGAAUAGAAAUACGCAAUGGAACUAAAAUCAGAAAGCAAUGAGCCUAAGGACAUUAGCAUUUUCCUACAUUCCCUGAAACCUGUCUUGAACCUACGAGGAACGUGGCGAAGAUACCUCUAUACACCGGUGAUGGAGAUGUUAGCCUCAUCUAAUUGAAAUCAACAGCUGGAAACACAAAUAAUCACACAAGUUAAAAAACCCAAAAUAAGUACUUAAACACUUCAAUUUGCAACAUUUAAGCACUUCAAUUUACAGCAUUUAAACACUUCAAUUUGCAGCAUUCAAACACUUCAAUUUGCAGCACUUUAACAUCUCAAUUAACAACAUUUAUACACCUCAAUUACAGCGAUAAAACAUCUCAAUGUCCAGCAACUAAACACUUCAAUUUGCAGUACUUAAACACUUCAAUUUGCAACAUUUAAGAACUUCAAUUUACAGCAUUUAAACAUUUCAAUUUGCAGCACUUUAACAUCUCAAUUAACAACAUUUAUACACCUCAAUUACAGCGAUAAAACAUCUCAAUGUCCGGCAACUAAACACUUCAAUUUUUAGUACUUAAACACUUCAAUUUGCAAUAUUUAAGCACUUCAAUUUACAGCAUUUAAACACUUCAAUUUACAGCAUUCAAACACUUCAAUUUGUAGCACUUUAACACUUCAAUUUAUAGCAUUUAAACACUUCAAUUUGCAGCACUUUAACAUCUCAAUUAACAACAUUUAUACACCUCAAUUACAGCGAUAAAACAUCUCAAUGUCCAGCAACUAAACACUUCAAUUUGCAGUACUUAAACACUUUAAUUUGCAACAUUUAAACACUUCAAUUUACAGCAUUUAAACACUUCAAUUUACGGCAUUCAAAUACUUCAAUUUACAGCACUUUAACACUUCAAUUUACAGCAUUUAAACACUUCAAUUUGCAGCACUUUAACAUCUCAAUUAACAACAUUUAUACACCUCAAUUAUAGCGCUAAAACAUCUCAAUGUCCAGCAACUAAACACUUCAAUUUGCAACAUUUUAGCACUUCAAUUUACAGCAUUCAAACACUUCAAUUUGCAGCACUUUAACACUUCAAUUUACAGCAUUUAAACACUUCAAUUUGUAGCACUUUAACAUCUCAAUUAACAACAUUUAUACACCUCAAUUACAGCGAUAAAACAUCUCAAUGUCCAGCAACUAAACACUUCAAUUUGCAGUACUUAAACACUUCAAUUUGCAACAUUUAAGCACUUCAAUUUACAGCAUUUAAACACUUCAAUUUACAACAUUCAAACACUUCAAUUUGCAGCACUUUAACACUUUAAUUUACAGCAUUAAAACACUUCAAUUUGCAGCACUUUAACAUUUCAAUUAACAACAUUUAUACACCUCAAUUACAGCGAUAAGACAUCUAAAUUUCUAGCAACUAAACACUUCAAUUUGCAGUACUUAAACACUUCAAUUUGCAACAUUUACUACUAAUAUAUAAUUUUAGGAUUCAUUAACUAAGAAAAGGAAGGAAAAAUAUUCUUACUGUCAUGGAAUAUCGCCUGCAACCAGCCAUUCUCCUUCUUUGUCCUGGUAGGUGAGAAUAUAAUCAUCUUCAUCACAUUUCUUGUCUGUUCAUGACAUGAAAAAGAAAAAAGCAAGCUGAAUAUUGAGAUUUUUGGUAUUCUUUUAUCUUUUGAGGAAUUUAUGUAUAUAAUCAAUGACUUUACCUUUGGCAAACAUGGUGAUCAAGGAGUGAUUUAUAUUUUAAAUCAUGAAAAUCUUUUACUUAAGGAAAAUAAUGUUUUAGUAUAUAUAUUGUUGGAGUGAUUUAAACCUUUUUGGAUCUUAUGCGUUUAAAGACAGAAUCAAGUUGUUGCUCCAAAUUUUGAAGCUCUCUAAGACUAAAAUUUUAGAUAUCUUCUCCUUCGUAAUGCCUAGAAAUAUAAUUAAUUAUUUAUUAAAAGAGAAAGAUGCAUGCCUUGAAUGUAUCUGAAAUUUGAAGCCAUUGGGGGUACCUCAGGUUUCUUUGUAAAGUCUGCAUUCUAGCUUUAAGUUUUGCAUGUUCCCAGGUCCAGUUUCCCUGUAAAAAAACAUAUUGAAAUCAUCCCAAGUCAACAAGUAGAACAUAUUUGGUGUAAUAACUAUUAUGAUGUUGAUGUAACAAUUUAAGUCAACAAUAAUAAAGCAUUCAAAAAAUAUAUAAAUUCUUUAAAAUUUCAAGUAAUAAAUAAAUAUUCAACUUUAUUUCAAUUUAGAUAUCCCGUUGAAGUUGAUUUUCAAUGUAGUUUUUUAAAUUAUAAAAUGAAGUUAAAUUUUCUGAAAAAUAUACAAAAAUUUAUUAAAAAUUUGUGAAAGAUCUUAAGAUUAUAAAAAUAACUCAACAUCUUUAUCACUCUUAAGAUCUUGUAUAAACUCAACAUCUUUAUUGAAAGGCAGACUCAACAUACCAAACAGUUUAACCUCAAAUUUGCAUUGGUUCAGAUGUCUUUACUCACGUCUUUAUUGACAGGUUUUAUGGAGACUAAUUGUUCUGCUUUCUAAAAAGUGAAUCUAAAUGCAUAACUAAUAACCAGCACCCCUAUCAUUUAAAACACCAACAAAUAGAAAAUGACUACAUUACUUCAAAGGACAAAUAGAAAGUACUCAAUUUAUCACGUAGACUACAUUACUUCAAAGGAUCCAGAAUUGAAUGCAAAUAGAAUCACAAUCAAUCCAAUCCCAUGAAAUUCAAAGAAAACAUACAGCAGAACUUAGGGGAGAAAAACAAAUAAGCAAGAGAACAGACGCAUACCAGUGGGAAUAUCUUUAAGCUGAGUACCACGACCCUGAAAAGCAAAUCAAAGUUCAAAAAACAAUCAUAACACAAAGAAAAUAAAUUGAAUGGCCUACACAUGACUCUGAAGAGCUGGGUUUUCAAAUUUCCCCAGAUAUUUAUAGGUUUGAUUCACAAUUAUUACCCAAACUAUCAUACAGUCCAUAAAUUUGCUUUCCACCAUUCUAUUUUCUCUCUCCAUCCAAUCUCCCUUUUCCAUUUCUUGCUUUUAUCUCUUCUUCUUCCAUGUCUCCUCAACCCGACCCAUGCCUGACCCGAUUUGUAUUAUCUGCUGGCGAAUGCAUUCCUUUUUCCUUCACUUCUGGAGAAAACAAUUGCUGAGGAAACGCCUCUUGCUUCUUAUUCUGGUCUCCAAAUCAAACGUUUGUUUUCUCUUUUGAAUAUCCGAUUUGAGUUUUUGGAUGGGGGAAAAUUAUAACAAGUUGAAAAAAUCAACGGCUUCACAAACCGGAAGAUUGGGGAGGGUACGUAACGCCGUGGGUAAAGGAAAUAGCCGAGAAUUUGACUUGCUUGAAAUCGGUGCAUUUUAGGAGGAUGAUUGUUAAUGAUUCAGAUUUGGAAGUAUUGGGUAGGUCUAGGGGGGAAUUUGGGGGAUUUGGUUAACGAGCGGGUAAACAAAAAAUAAUUUUUGGGAGUGAGCAGAUUUUGCCUUUUUUUAUAAAAAAAUAAUGGCCCUUU